This 2932-nucleotide ribosomal RNA is filed under the name Escherichia coli. RNAcentral describes it as "23S ribosomal RNA". It matches the Rfam family "Bacterial large subunit ribosomal RNA". The record is from RNAcentral. Lineage: Bacteria; Pseudomonadati; Pseudomonadota; Gammaproteobacteria; Enterobacterales; Enterobacteriaceae.
GGGUUGUGAGGUUAAGCGACUAAGCGUACACGGUGGAUGCCCUGGCAGUCAGAGGCGAUGAAGGACGUGCUAAUCUGCGAUAAGCGUCGGUAAGGUGAUAUGAACCGUUAUAACCGGCGAUUUCCGAAUGGGGAAACCCAGUGUGAUUCGUCACACUAUCAUUAACUGAAUCCAUAGGUUAAUGAGGCGAACCGGGGGAACUGAAACAUCUAAGUACCCCGAGGAAAAGAAAUCAACCGAGAUUCCCCCAGUAGCGGCGAGCGAACGGGGAGCAGCCCAGAGCCUGAAUCAGUGUGUGUGUUAGUGGAAGCGUCUGGAAAGGCGCGCGAUACAGGGUGACAGCCCCGUACACAAAAAUGCACAUGCUGUGAGCUCGAUGAGUAGGGCGGGACACGUGGUAUCCUGUCUGAAUAUGGGGGGACCAUCCUCCAAGGCUAAAUACUCCUGACUGACCGAUAGUGAACCAGUACCGUGAGGGAAAGGCGAAAAGAACCCCGGCGAGGGGAGUGAAAAAGAACCUGAAACCGUGUACGUACAAGCAGUGGGAGCACAGAGCAAUCUGUGUGACUGCGUACCUUUUGUAUAAUGGGUCAGCGACUUAUAUUCUGUAGCAAGGUUAACCGAAUAGGGGAGCCGAAGGGAAACCGAGUCUUAACUGGGCGUUAAGUUGCAGGGUAUAGACCCGAAACCCGGUGAUCUAGCCAUGGGCAGGUUGAAGGUUGGGUAACACUAACUGGAGGACCGAACCGACUAAUGUUGAAAAAUUAGCGGAUGACUUGUGGCUGGGGGUGAAAGGCCAAUCAAACCGGGAGAUAGCUGGUUCUCCCCGAAAGCUAUUUAGGUAGCGCCUCGUGAAUUCAUCUCCGGGGGUAGAGCACUGUUUCGGCAAGGGGGUCAUCCCGACUUACCAACCCGAUGCAAACUGCGAAUACCGGAGAAUGUUAUCACGGGAGACACACGGCGGGUGCUAACGUCCGUCGUGAAGAGGGAAACAACCCAGACCGCCAGCUAAGGUCCCAAAGUCAUGGUUAAGUGGGAAACGAUGUGGGAAGGCCCAGACAGCCAGGAUGUUGGCUUAGAAGCAGCCAUCAUUUAAAGAAAGCGUAAUAGCUCACUGGUCGAGUCGGCCUGCGCGGAAGAUGUAACGGGGCUAAACCAUGCACCGAAGCUGCGGCAGCGACGCUUAUGCGUUGUUGGGUAGGGGAGCGUUCUGUAAGCCUGUGAAGGUGUACUGUGAGGUAUGCUGGAGGUAUCAGAAGUGCGAAUGCUGACAUAAGUAACGAUAAAGCGGGUGAAAAGCCCGCUCGCCGGAAGACCAAGGGUUCCUGUCCAACGUUAAUCGGGGCAGGGUGAGUCGACCCCUAAGGCGAGGCCGAAAGGCGUAGUCGAUGGGAAACAGGUUAAUAUUCCUGUACUUGGUGUUACUGCGAAGGGGGGACGGAGAAGGCUAUGUUGGCCGGGCGACGGUUGUCCCGGUUUAAGCGUGUAGGCUGGUUUUCCAGGCAAAUCCGGAAAAUCAAGGCUGAGGCGUGAUGACGAGGCACUACGGUGCUGAAGCAACAAAUGCCCUGCUUCCAGGAAAAGCCUCUAAGCAUCAGGUAACAUCAAAUCGUACCCCAAACCGACACAGGUGGUCAGGUAGAGAAUACCAAGGCGCUUGAGAGAACUCGGGUGAAGGAACUAGGCAAAAUGGUGCCGUAACUUCGGGAGAAGGCACGCUGAUAUGUAGGUGAAGCGACUUGCUCGUGGAGCUGAAAUCAGUCGAAGAUACCAGCUGGCUGCAACUGUUUAUUAAAAACACAGCACUGUGCAAACACGAAAGUGGACGUAUACGGUGUGACGCCUGCCCGGUGCCGGAAGGUUAAUUGAUGGGGUCAGCGCAAGCGAAGCUCUUGAUCGAAGCCCCGGUAAACGGCGGCCGUAACUAUAACGGUCCUAAGGUAGCGAAAUUCCUUGUCGGGUAAGUUCCGACCUGCACGAAUGGCGUAAUGAUGGCCAGGCUGUCUCCACCCGAGACUCAGUGAAAUUGAACUCGCUGUGAAGAUGCAGUGUACCCGCGGCAAGACGGAAAGACCCCGUGAACCUUUACUAUAGCUUGACACUGAACAUUGAGCCUUGAUGUGUAGGAUAGGUGGGAGGCUUUGAAGUGUGGACGCCAGUCUGCAUGGAGCCGACCUUGAAAUACCACCCUUUAAUGUUUGAUGUUCUAACGUGGACCCGUAAUCCGGGUUGCGGACAGUGUCUGGUGGGUAGUUUGACUGGGGCGGUCUCCUCCUAAAGAGUAACGGAGGAGCACGAAGGUUGGCUAAUCCUGGUCGGACAUCAGGAGGUUAGUGCAAUGGCAUAAGCCAGCUUGACUGCGAGCGUGACGGCGCGAGCAGGUGCGAAAGCAGGUCAUAGUGAUCCGGUGGUUCUGAAUGGAAGGGCCAUCGCUCAACGGAUAAAAGGUACUCCGGGGAUAACAGGCUGAUACCGCCCAAGAGUUCAUAUCGACGGCGGUGUUUGGCACCUCGAUGUCGGCUCAUCACAUCCUGGGGCUGAAGUAGGUCCCAAGGGUAUGGCUGUUCGCCAUUUAAAGUGGUACGCGAGCUGGGUUUAGAACGUCGUGAGACAGUUCGGUCCCUAUCUGCCGUGGGCGCUGGAGAACUGAGGGGGGCUGCUCCUAGUACGAGAGGACCGGAGUGGACGCAUCACUGGUGUUCGGGUUGUCAUGCCAAUGGCACUGCCCGGUAGCUAAAUGCGGAAGAGAUAAGUGCUGAAAGCAUCUAAGCACGAAACUUGCCCCGAGAUGAGUUCUCCCUGACCCUUUAAGGGUCCUGAAGGAACGUUGAAGACGACGACGUUGAUAGGCCGGGUGUGUAAGCGCAGCGAUGCGUUGAGCUAACCGGUACUAAUGAACCGUGAGGCUUAACCUUACAACGCCGAAGCUGUU